This 1436-nucleotide ribosomal RNA is filed under the name uncultured bacterium. RNAcentral's name for it is "bacterial SSU rRNA". It matches the Rfam family "Bacterial small subunit ribosomal RNA". The record is from RNAcentral.
AGAGUUUGAUCCUGGCUCAGAACGUACGCUGGCGGCACGCCUAAUACAUGCAAGUCGAACGAAGUAGCAAUACUUAGUGGCAGACGGGUGAGUAACAUGUGGGUAUCUUCCCUUUGGUGAGGAAUAACACGAGGAAACUUGUGCUAAUACCUCAUAAGUCUUUACGGAGAAAGCUUUAUGCGCCAUUGGAUGAGCCCGCACUUGAUUAGUUUGUUGGUGGGGUAAUGGCCUACCAAGACUGUGAUCAAUAGCUGAUUUGAGAGGAUGAUCAGCCACAUUGGGACUGAGACACGGCCCAAACUCCUACGGGAGGCAGCAGUAGGGAAUCUUGCACAAUGGAGGAAACUCUGAUGCAGCGAUGCCGCGUGAGUGAAGAAGGCCUUUGGGUUGUAAAGCUCUUUCGUCGGGGAAGAAAAUGACUGUACCCGAAUAAGAAGGUCCGGCUAACUUCGUGCCAGCAGCCGCGGUAAUACGAAGGGACCUAGCGUAGUUCGGAAUUACUGGGCUUAAAGAGUUCGUAGGUGGUUAAAAUAGUUGGUGGUGAAAUCCCAGAGCUUAACUCUGGAACUGCCAUCAAAACUUUUUAGCUAGAGUAUGAUAGAGGAAAGCAGAAUUUCUAGUGUAGAGGUGAAAUUCGUAGAUAUUAGAAAGAAUACCAAUUGCGAAGGCAGCUUUCUGGAUCAUUACUGACACUGAGGAACGAAAGCAUGGGUAGCGAAGAGGAUUAGAUACCCUCGUAGUCCAUGCCGUAAACGAUGUGUGUUAGACGUUGGAAAUUUAUUUUCAGUGUCGCAGCAAAAGCGAUAAACACACCGCCUGGGGAGUACGACCGCAAGGUUAAAACUCAAAUGAAUUGACGGGGACCCGCACAAGUAGUGGAGCAUGUGGUUUAAUUCGAAGAUACGCGCAGAACCUUACCAACACUUGACAUGUUCGUCGCGACUCUAAGAGAUUAGAGUUUUCGGUUCGGCCGGACGAAACACAGGUGCUGCAUGGCUGUCGUCAGCUCGUGUCGUGAGAUGUUGGGUUAAGUCCCGCAACGAGCGCAACCCUCACUUUUAGUUGCUACCAUUUAGUUGGGCACUCUAAAAGAACUGCCAGUGAUAAGCUGGAGGAAGGCGGGGAUGACGUCAAGUCCUCAUGGCCCUUACGUGUUGGGCUACACACGUGCUACAAUGGUACUUACAGAGAGAAGCGAAGGGGCGACUCUAAGCCAAUCCCAAAAAGGUACCUCAGUUCGGAUUGUACUCUGCAACUCGAGUACAUGAAGCUGGAAUUACUAGUAAUCGCGGAUCAGCGCGCCGCGGUGAAUACGUUCCCGGGUCUUGUACACACCGCCCGUCACACCAUGGAAGUUGGUUACACCUUAAGGCAAAGCAUAAAACCUUUGACUACGGUACGAUCAGCGACUGGGGUGAAGUCGUAACAAGGUAACC